UUAAAAGUGCCCUUUUGAAAAUCCCUGGAAUGGUGGCUAAACCUAUAGCGAUAUAUCCAACACUCUUUUUUGUAACAAAACAGAGCAAAACAACGCAGUUGGGCACAAAAUGGGAGACAAGAAUGGCUGUGCAAGAACUGACCAGUUAACGUGCUGGUGGCGCACUUAACAUUUCUGCUUCUUUCAAUAUCGUUUUCUCGAGUUGCCGG
Molecule: unclassified non-coding RNA, 209 nt
Filed under: Hevea brasiliensis (rubber tree)
Lineage: Eukaryota; Viridiplantae; Streptophyta; Magnoliopsida; Malpighiales; Euphorbiaceae
Source: RNAcentral